UUGGGCCCUAAGCAUCCGUAGCCGGCUCUGUAAGUUUUCGGUUAAAUCUGUACGCUCAACGUACAGGCUGCCGGGAAUACUGCAGAGCUAGGGAGUGGGAGAGGUAGACGGUACUCGGUAGGAAGGGGUAAAAUCCUUUGAUCUAUUGAUGACCACCUGUGGCGAAGGCGGUCUACCAGAACACGUCCGACGGUGAGGGAUGAAAGCUGGGGGAGCAAACCGGAUUAGAUACCCGGGUAGUCCCAGCUGUAAACUAUGCAAACUCAGUGAUGCAUUGUUGUGCAAUGCAGUGCUGCAGGGAAGCCGUUAAGUUUGCCGCCUGGGAAGUACGUACGCAAGUAUGAAACUUAAAGGAAUUGGCGGGGGANCAC
This 371-nucleotide ribosomal RNA is filed under the name uncultured archaeon. RNAcentral describes it as "bacterial SSU rRNA". It matches the Rfam family "Archaeal small subunit ribosomal RNA", at positions 504 to 879 of the family's 1478-position model. The record is from RNAcentral.